Molecule: ribosomal RNA, 626 nt
Filed under: uncultured bacterium
Lineage: Bacteria
Description: bacterial SSU rRNA
Rfam family: Bacterial small subunit ribosomal RNA
Source: RNAcentral
GUUUGUAAAGCGGCGAACGGGUGAGGAAUACAUUGGGUAACCUACCCUUGAGUGGGGAAUAACUAGCCGAAAGGUUAGCUAAUACCGCGUACGCUUCUUGGACUUCGGUUCAGGGAGGAAAGCGAUGCCGAGGGUAUCGCGCUCUUGGAUGGGCUCAUGUCCUAUCAGCUUGUUGGUGAGGUAACGGCUCACCAAGGCUUCGACGGGUAGCUGGUCUGAGAGGACGAUCAGCCACACUGGCACUGCGACACGGGCCAGACUCCUACGGGAGGCAGCAGUAAGGAAUAUUGCGCAAUGGGUGAAAGCCUGACGCAGCGACGCCGCGUGGGGGAUGAAGGUCUUCGGAUUGUAAACCCCUUUCGGGAGGGAAGAUGGAAUGGGGUAACCCAUUCGGACGGUACCUCCAGAAGCAGCCACGGCUAACUUCGUGCCAGCAGCCGCGGUAAUACGAAGGUGGCAAGCGUUAUUCGGAUUUACUGGGCGUACAGGGAGCGUAGGCGGUUCGGUAAGCCCUCUGUGAAAUCUCCAGGCUUAACCUGGAACAGUCGGAGGGACUGCUGGGCUAGAGGACGGGAGAGGAGCGCGGAAUUCCCGGUGUAGCGGUGAAAUGCGUAGAGAUCGGGAGG